This 495-nucleotide ribosomal RNA is filed under the name uncultured bacterium. Its description in RNAcentral is "partial 16S ribosomal RNA". It matches the Rfam family "Bacterial small subunit ribosomal RNA", at positions 28 to 507 of the family's 1533-position model. The record is from RNAcentral.
GACGAACGCUGGCGGCGUGCCUAAUACAUGCAAGUAGAACGCUGAAGGAGGAGCUUGCUUCUCCGGAUGAGUUGCGAACGGGUGAGUAACACGUAGGUAACCUGCCUGGUAGCGGGGGAUAACUAUUGGAAACGAUAGCUAAUACCGCAUAAGAGUAGAUGUCGCAUGACAUUUGCUUAAAAGGUGCAACUGCACCACUACCAGAUGGACCUGCGUUGUAUUAGCUAGUUGGUGAGGUAACGGCUCACCAAGGCAACGAUACAUAGCCGACCUGAGAGGGUGAUCGGCCACACUGGGACUGAGACACGGCCCAGACUCCUACGGGAGGCAGCAGUAGGGAAUCUUCGGCAAUGGACGGAAGUCUGACCGAGCAACGCCGCGUGAGUGAAGAAGGUUUUCGGAUCGUAAAGCUCUGUUGUAAGAGAAGAACGAGUGUGAGAGUGGAAAGUUCACACUGUGACGGUAUCUUACCAGAAAGGGACGGCUAACUACGUG